This 490-nucleotide ribosomal RNA is filed under the name uncultured bacterium. Its description in RNAcentral is "partial 16S ribosomal RNA". It matches the Rfam family "Bacterial small subunit ribosomal RNA", at positions 29 to 507 of the family's 1533-position model. The record is from RNAcentral.
AUUGAACGCUGGCGGCAUGCCUUACACAUGCAAGUCGAACGGCAUCGCGGGAAAGCUUGCUUUCCUGGCGGCGAGUGGCGAACGGGUGAGUAACACAUCGGAACGUACCGGCUAGUGGGGGAUAACCCGUCGAAAGACGGGCUAAUACCGCAUACGCUCUUCGGAGGAAAGCAGGGGACCUUUGGGCCUUGCGCUAGCCGAGCGGCCGAUGUCCGAUUAGCUAGUUGGUGGGGUAAAGGCCUACCAAGGCGACGAUCGGUAGCGGGUCUGAGAGGACGAUCAGCCACACUGGGACUGAGACACGGCCCAGACUCCUACGGGAGGCAGCAGUGGGGAAUCUUGGACAAUGGGGGCAACCCUGAUCCAGCAAUGCCGCGUGGGUGAAGAAGGCCUUCGGGUUGUAAAGCCCUUUCGGCAGGGAAGAAAUCGGCGGGGCGAAUAACCCUGCUGGAUGACGGUACCUGCAGAAGAAGCACCGGCUAACUACGUG